UUAUACAACCUCAACUCAUAUGGGACUACCCCCUGAAUUUAAGCAUAUUAAUUAGGGGAGGAAAAGAAACUAACAAGGAUUUUCUUAGUAGCGGCGAGCGAAAAGAAAUCAGUUCAGCAUAAGUCACUUUGUCUAUAUGGCAAAUGUGAGAUGCAGUGUAUGGAACAUCAAUAUUUUAGUAUGAGAAAUUAACGAUUUAAGUCCUUUUUAAAUGAGSCCAUUUACCCAUAGAGGGUGCCAGGCCCGUAUAACGUUAAUGAUUACUAGAUGGUGUUUCCCAAAGAGUCGUGUUGCUUGAUAGAGCAGCACUUAAGUGGGUGGUAAACUCCAUCUAAAACUAAAUAUAACCAUGAGACCGAUAGUAAACAAGUACCGUGAGGGAAAGUUGAAAAGAACUCUGAAUAGAGAGUUAAAUAGUACGUGAAACUGCUUAGAGGUUAAGCCCGAUGAACCUGAAUAUCCAUUAUGGAAAAUUCAUCAUUAGAGUUGUAAUAUUUAAACAAUAUUAUAAUAAUAGUGUGCAUUUUUUCCAUAUAAGGACAUUGUAAUCUAUUAGUAUCAAAAAUUUAUCAAAAAAUUUAAGACAAUUGCUUAUUUAAAUUAAAAUGCUUGCAUUUUAACAUAAAAUAAAUGUCAUAAAUUUGAUAAAGUGCUGAUAGAUUUAUAUGAAUACAGUGCGUUAAUUUUUCGGAAUUAUAUAAUGGCAUGAUUAUCAUUGAUUUUUAUGUUUAUUAUAUGCACUUGUAUGAUUAACAAUGCGAAAGAUUCAGGAUACCUUCGGGACCCGUCUUGAAACACGGACCAAGGAGUCUAACAUAUGUGCAAGUUAUUGGGAUAAAAACCUAAUAGCGUAAUUAACUUGACUAAUAAUGGGAUUAGUUUUUUAACUAUUUAUAGUUAAUUAACACAAUCCCGGGGCGUUCUAUAUAGUUAUGUAUAAUGAUAUUUAUAUUAUUUAUGCCUCUAACUGGAACGUACCUUGAGCAUAUAUGCUGUGACCCGAAAGAUGGUGAACU
This 1016-nucleotide ribosomal RNA is filed under the name Drosophila guttifera. RNAcentral describes it as "eukaryotic LSU rRNA". It matches the Rfam family "Eukaryotic large subunit ribosomal RNA", at positions 1 to 832 of the family's 3401-position model. The record is from RNAcentral. Lineage: Eukaryota; Metazoa; Arthropoda; Insecta; Diptera; Drosophilidae.